CAUGAACCGUUGGACCGACGUUCGCUUGCGAAAAAAAAGAAAGCGGCUCCACGACUGUGUUCGUCUUCCUCGCGUGGUCCGACCAAUGAAUUCCUCUUCUCCUUCUCAUCUUCCCCACCGAGUAAAGGCAUCAGUAACCGAUGGAGCCACUCAUCUCUUUUUAAGCAAUGGAUCUGCUAGAUCCGUUCCCCUCAUCUACAGUAGAUUGGGUAUCCAGCGUCUCUGCACUAGAGUUGCCAUCGACCUUGAGAUCUCAAGCCCUUGGCAUGUUGGUACUACCUCCACGGCUUUACAAGCAGCGCGCAGGAGAUGCGAAUUUGGAGGACGAGUCAGGUACGAACCUCCCUAGCACAGGGGAAGCGCUUGAUGACGCGUUGCAUCCAGGUCGUUGUGGACGUACUCUGCAGCCGAGGCGUCGUCUCUUGGUCUCUGGCGUCUCCACCACAAGAACACCGUAUCUCUACUUCGGCGGCGUAUAUCUACUACGCAGUUUCUGCACAUACAUUGUUGCCUCAUCAGGAUGAGGAAUAUAGACAUUCAGCAACUGAAGAAUCAGGAAAUGUGUCGACUCAAGACAACAUGUAAUGCCGUCAGUAAGGCUAAUUAGGAGAUUAUCCUGCAGGAUUGUUGUUUGUCUUCCAUGCGACUUUAAUUAUUGUAUAGCAAUGAAGCCCAGAUGAUCUGUUUUCUCAGGGUCGCAGCCUCGGUUUCUCCAGGAGAUUUGACAUACUCCUCCACCCAUUGGAUACCUUGAUGGAGUGGUUACGUACUAAAAUAUUCAGCAUUGCUAUGAAGAGACCACUCUCCAACUGUUAACAGUCGUUUUCCUAAAGUUAUGUCUCUCAGCAACUAAGCACCGCCGAUGUUUACGAGGUAUACAAAGCUGGCUGCUCACCUUUCUCCGUGACUCGAUAAAAAUAGUUUCUCUCACAAGCCAACAAGAAUACUUAGGACAUGACUGUCAUAAGAGUGCCAAAUCUUUGUAAAAAAACUAAUGUAAAUAUUAGUAUUGUGUUGUGUUGACAUCUAUUUGUCAUAUUUCACUUUCUUUAUGUAUGAUUUACACUUUUCCUUGAAGUUGCUCCAUAUUAUGUUUAA
Molecule: long non-coding RNA, 1098 nt
Organism: Lolium perenne
Lineage: Eukaryota; Viridiplantae; Streptophyta; Magnoliopsida; Poales; Poaceae
Source: RefSeq, a predicted model, not a curated record